Molecule: ribosomal RNA, 402 nt
Filed under: uncultured bacterium
Lineage: Bacteria
Description: partial 16S ribosomal RNA
Rfam family: Bacterial small subunit ribosomal RNA
Source: RNAcentral
AUUGAACGCUGGCGGCAGGCCUAACACAUGCAAGUCGAGCGCGCGUCGGACGGGUGAGGAAUGUAUGGGGACUGCCCGAUAGAGGGGGAUAACUACUGGAAACGGUAGCUAAUACCGCAUCCUAUCGACUAACCCAUAUGGGAUUAGCUAGUAGGUGAGGUAAUGGCUCACAUAGGCGACGAUACCUAGCAGGUCUGAGAGGAUGAUCAGCCACACGGGGACGUAGACCCGGCCCAGAUACGGGGGGAGGCAGCAUGGGGGAAUAUAGCACAAUGGGCGCAAGCCUGAGGCAGCCAUGCCGCUUGUAUGAAGAAGGCCCUAGGUUUGUAAAGUACUUUCAGUCGGGAGGCGUGACCGACAGAAGAAGCACCGGCUAACUCCGUGCCAGCAGCCGCGGUAUAC